RNAcentral lists this long non-coding RNA (837 nucleotides) under Salmo salar (Atlantic salmon). Its description in RNAcentral is "lncRNA (ENSSSAG00000103160.1)". Lineage: Eukaryota; Metazoa; Chordata; Actinopteri; Salmoniformes; Salmonidae. The record is from RNAcentral.
UAGAUGUCAACGAUCUUUAUAAAGUUGUUUGAAGCGUCUAUGAUAAACAGAGAGCAAAUUAGAAUCCAAGGAAGUUGACAUGUCAUCACUUCAUUUUUUUGCGCCUGCACAUAAAUCUGAGAAACGUGAGUUUUGUCUUCAUUGUUUAUCUAGACAUAGGAUAGGUUGUGUGAAAAUAUUACUGAUGUUUAACGUUAAAAAUGGACCAAAAGAUUAAUGCUAAACAACAUUUGACAUGUUUGAACGAACAUAAAUAGAUUAUUUACUAGUUUUUUUUUAGCUUUUCGGCGUGAAUUACACUCCCCCCACCACGUUUUGUGGGAGCAUAAUGAACGCUAAGUACUUGGUGUUAUUUGGACAUAAAUUAUGAACUUUGUCAAAAGAAACCACAUUUGUUCCGGACCUGGGAUGCCUUCCGGACCUGGGAUGCCUGCCUUCUGAUGGAGAUAAUCAAAGUAUAUACGAGAUCUGUUACAGAACUUCCCACCAACAAUGGACCAAGCAGCGGGGUAAGGAGCUGGAGAAAGGCUAUCGGGAGUCGUGGACCUGGGAGGAGAUUUUAGCUGGGGCUGGAUCAUGGAAGAAGGCUGGAGUGGACCGGGACUAUUAUAUUGGUACACGGUUGGCAUUUAAGCCUGAGAGGCAGCCCCAAUAAUUUUUUGAGGGGGGCACACGGGUAGUUUGGCUGGGCCAGGGUUAAGCCCUAAACCAACUCCCUGUGCUUACCGGAGGCAGCAUGUUACUGGUCAGGCCCCGUGCUAUGGGAUGAUGCGCAUGGCGUCGAGGCUGAGCAUUCACAAGCCGGUGUGCGCGGUGCCAGCGCCCCGCAUUUGCCAG